RNAcentral lists this ribosomal RNA (259 nucleotides) under uncultured bacterium. RNAcentral describes it as "partial 16S ribosomal RNA". It matches the Rfam family "Bacterial small subunit ribosomal RNA", at positions 94 to 353 of the family's 1533-position model. The record is from RNAcentral.
AGUGGCGGACGGGUGAGUAACGCGUGGGUAACCUGCCUGAUGGAGGGGGAUAACUACUGGAAACGGUAGCUAAUACCGCAUAAUGUCGCAAGACCAAAGAGGGGGACCUUCGGGCCUCUUGCCAUCGGAUGUGCCCAGAUGGGAUUAGCUUGUUGGUGGGGUAACGGCUCACCAAGGCGACGAUCCCUAGCUGGUCUGAGAGGAUGACCAGCCACACUGGAACUGAGACACGGUCCAGACUCCUACGGGAGGCAGCAUG